GAACGGUUAGCUGAGUUGGUAAGAGCGCUCGGACGUAAACCGAGAGGUCGCAGGUUCAAUUCCCGCAUCGUUCA
Non-coding RNA from Leptidea sinapis, 74 nucleotides. Lineage: Eukaryota; Metazoa; Arthropoda; Insecta; Lepidoptera; Pieridae. The record is from the annotation of a RefSeq genome assembly.